This 433-nucleotide ribosomal RNA is filed under the name uncultured bacterium. Its description in RNAcentral is "partial 16S ribosomal RNA". It matches the Rfam family "Bacterial small subunit ribosomal RNA", at positions 29 to 507 of the family's 1533-position model. The record is from RNAcentral.
AACGAACGCUGGCGGCAGGCUUAACACAUGCAAGUCGAGCGCAUCCUUCGGGGUUAGCGGCAGACGGGUGAGUAACGCGUGGGAAUCUACCUUUUGCUACGGAAUAGCUCCGGGAAACUGGAAUUAAUACCGUAUGUGCCCUUAGGGGGAAAGAUUUAUCGGCAAGAGAUGAGCCCGCGUUGGAUUAGCUAGUUGGUGGGGUAAAGGCCUACCAAGGCGACGAUCCAUAGCUGGUCUGAGAGGAUGAUCAGCCACAUUGGGACUGAGACACGGCCCAAACUCCUACGGGAGGAGGCAGUGGGGAAUAUUGGACAAUGGGCGCAAGCCUGAUCCAGCCAUGCCGCGUGAGUGAUGAAGGCCUUAGGGUUGUAAAGCUCUUUCACCGGAGAAGAUAAUGACGGUAUCCGGAGAAGAAGCCCCGGCUAACUUCGUG